CGGGACGUGGGCAAGCGGCUAAGCCACCUCAUUUGGGAUGAGGGCGACGCAGGUUCGAGUCCUGCCGUUCCGACCG
Molecule: transfer RNA, 76 nt
Filed under: Pseudonocardiales bacterium
Lineage: Bacteria; Bacillati; Actinomycetota; Actinomycetes; Pseudonocardiales
Description: tRNA-Pro
Rfam family: tRNA
About the family: Transfer RNA (tRNA) molecules are approximately 80 nucleotides in length.
Source: RNAcentral